This 365-nucleotide ribosomal RNA is filed under the name Prionailurus bengalensis (leopard cat). Its description in RNAcentral is "partial 16S ribosomal RNA". It matches the Rfam family "Bacterial large subunit ribosomal RNA", at positions 1983 to 2524 of the family's 2925-position model. The record is from RNAcentral. Lineage: Eukaryota; Metazoa; Chordata; Mammalia; Carnivora; Felidae.
GGGACUUGUAUGAAUGGCCACACGAGGGCUUUACUGUCUCUUGCUUCCAAUCCGUGAAAUUGACCUUCCCGUGAAGAGGCGGGAAUAUAACAAUAAGACGAGAAGACCCUAUGGAGCUUUAAUUAAUCGACUCAAAGAGACCCACUAACUAACCGACAGGAACAACAAACCUCUAUAUGAGCCGACAAUUUAGGUUGGGGUGACCUCGGAGAAUAAAACAACCUCCGAGUGAUUUAAAUCUAGACUAACCAGUCAAAAGUAUUACAUCACUUAUUGAUCCAAAAACUUGAUCAACGGAACAAGUUACCCUAGGGAUAACAGCGCAAUCCUAUUUUAGAGUCCAUAUCGACAAUAGGGUUUACGAC